RNAcentral lists this ribosomal RNA (601 nucleotides) under uncultured bacterium. RNAcentral describes it as "bacterial SSU rRNA". It matches the Rfam family "Bacterial small subunit ribosomal RNA", at positions 736 to 1325 of the family's 1533-position model. The record is from RNAcentral.
GUAAUUGACACUGAGGAACGAAAGCCAGGGUAGCAAAUGGGAUUAGAUACCCCCAGUAGUCCUGGCCGUAAACGAUGGAUACUAGGUGUUGCGGGUAUCGACCCCUGCAGUGCCGAAGCUAACGCGAUAAGUAUCCCGCCUGGGGAGUACGCACGCAAGUGUGAAACUCAAAGGAAUUGACGGGGACCCGCACAAGCGGUGGAACAUGUGGUUUAAUUCGAAGCAACGCGAAGAACCUUACCAGGGCUUGACAUCUAACUAAUUCUGAUGAAAGUCGGAAGUGCCCUUCGGGGAGAGUUAAGACAGGUGGUGCACGGUUGUCGUCAGCUCGUGUCGUGAGAUGUUGGGUUAAGUCCCGCAACGAGCGCAACCCUCGUCGUUAGUUGGUAUACUUGGUAUACUGAGUAUAACCUCUCUAGCGAGACUGCCGGUGAUAAACCGGAGGAAGGUGAGGACGACGUCAAAUCAUCAUGCCCCUUAUGCUCUGGGCUACACACGUGUUACAAGCGGGGGUACAAAGAGCCGCCAACUCGUGAGAGUGAGCAAAUCUCUAAAAGCCGGUCUCAGUUCGGAUUGUAGUCUACAACUCGACUACAUGAAG